RNAcentral lists this ribosomal RNA (164 nucleotides) under Camellia petelotii. RNAcentral's name for it is "5.8S ribosomal RNA". It matches the Rfam family "5.8S ribosomal RNA". Rfam says of the family: 5.8S ribosomal RNA (5.8S rRNA) is a component of the large subunit of the eukaryotic ribosome. Lineage: Eukaryota; Viridiplantae; Streptophyta; Magnoliopsida; Ericales; Theaceae. The record is from RNAcentral.
UAAACGACUCUCGGCAACGGAUAUCUCGGCUCUCGCAUCGAUGAAGAACGUAGCGAAAUGCGAUACUUGGUGUGAAUUGCAGAAUCCCGCGAACCAUCGAGUCUUUGAACGCAAGUUGCGCCCAAAGCCAUUAGGUUGAGGGCACGUCUGCCUGGGCGUCUCAC